AUUCCAGCUCCAAUAGCGUAUAUUAAAGUUGUUGCAGUUAAAAAGCUCGUAGUUGGACUUCUGGCAGGGCGCCGCGUGCCACAGUAGUGCGCACAAGGGCCCGGCCAUCCUUCUGUAAACGUCGGGGAAGUUUAUUCGUCCGCGGCGGGAUCAGUUAAUUUACCUUGAGAAAAUUAGAGUGUUUCAGGCAGGCGUAGCCGGAAUACAUUAGCAUGGAAUAAUGGAAUAGGACUUAGUCUCUUUGUUGGUUCGAGGGACUGGAGUAAUGAUUAAUAGGGAUAGUUGGGGGCAUUAGUAUUUAUUAGCUAGAGGUGGAAUUCUCUAAUUUGAUAAAGACUAACUUAUGCGAAAGCAUUUGCCAAGGAUGUUUUCAUUA
This 376-nucleotide ribosomal RNA is filed under the name Strombidium sp. RNAcentral describes it as "partial small subunit ribosomal RNA". It matches the Rfam family "Eukaryotic small subunit ribosomal RNA", at positions 582 to 975 of the family's 1831-position model. Lineage: Eukaryota; Ciliophora; Spirotrichea; Strombidiidae. The record is from RNAcentral.